UAGUCAAAAAGAGAAUGCUCA
Molecule: non-coding RNA, 21 nt
Filed under: Caenorhabditis elegans
Lineage: Eukaryota; Metazoa; Nematoda; Chromadorea; Rhabditida; Rhabditidae
Source: RNAcentral